AAUUAAAGCGGUUUGUUCACGUAGCGAUGUGCUUAUUCAAACGUUUCCGGUCAACGCCGGGUCACGGUGCGUUUCCCGUCAUGCACUCCGUCAGACCACGUGCACGUGCAGCGCGUGCUGACCGCGCCGAGUGGGGCCGUAACCCGCUUCUUACACUCACUUUCGCAUCGUCUUCCCAUCAAAUCCCUCAUCGUAAUGAUAGUAAUUACAGGCAGCCAGCGGACGCUAGCCGCGGACGCGCGAGGCCAAGCGCUAAUGGACGCGUGCGUGCGGCGUGUCCGCGUGCGUGUGUCCCGCGCCUCUUCUCGUAUUUGCCAAGGAAAAAAUUUCCAAUUAACCAACAGCUUGCUCUCAAGUGGAAGUGAGAAAUGGAGAAACUUGGACAAAAGCACAGCGCGAGAACACGCUGGAAUAAUAAAGAGGCGUGUGUGAGGCUGACGCUGUUUACACAGGACGCGCAUGUAUGAAGAUUACCGGCGCGUGAGCAAGGCAGCACCCACCGGGAUCAGAACCCGCUCGUCGCUGGUUGCUGUUGGUUACGAUGACGAUUAUUCUAACAACGGGUUUUGCGUUUUAUCUUGAAGUGAUGUUACAUUCAUACUGAGAUACUGAAGGAAAGCAGCGUUGCAGUACUAGUACAGUACUAGUAGAUGUACUUGGUGUACUUGUGUACUUCCAGGCCUCGACCCUGUGAUGGACUGACCGGACUCUGACCCAACCACUGAACGGAUCAGCGCCAGCUCCCGAGACCCUUUAGACGAACAGCAGUCGUAGAAACGGAACAUCGUCACGUGCAUUUGGUUUGGAGCGUCCGGAGGAAGACGAUGCAGGAGAAAAUGUCCAUUUUCCUCCCUGUGAGGAUGAGAUGACGGAUCCAUGGGUGCUUGGAGUCGACUGAACCCGAUCCCGGCUCACGAUGACGCCGCAACGGGCCGUGAAUCCUGGGUCGUCAGAGGAGGCAGGAAACGGUCCGAACUGGACCUGAAGCUGCAGAACCGGGUCCAUUUAGACGGAGCCGGACAAACAUGCACGGUGUCACAUCUGCGACGUCCUCCACAAAGCAGCUUUGAUUCAAAUGUGGAUCAAGUGCAAGUGUAAAUAAAGUUUUUCCCUGUUCAGGCGGAUGAGAUUUCACCUAAACUUCUCCGGCGGCGCAGCUUAAACGAUGAAGCAUGUCCUUGCGCUGCCUAAUUCCCAAACUUGACUCCUGCUUCUUUGUGCGAGGGCAGGAGGCCGGCGAGAUAAUUCCCACAUUCACAGGGGAAGAUUAACAGCCCUCCGAGGGCUCGACUGCCGCUUGUCAAUCAGGCAACCGGCUGCUCCUCCGCCGGCGCUUUGUUCUGCGGCUGAUGCAAAGAGCACCUACUCACGUCCAUCACUGCAGAAUAUCCUCAGUGAAGUGUUACAAAAGAAAGAAUUGAGAAUAAAGGGGCAAAAACUGAAUUGUGACAUGAAAGAAAGGAAUAUUUGUCAUUCGCUGCACGAUCUUAUUGCUCCACGAGUAUGAGAGGCAAUGCUUUUGUACGGCAACGAAGCCAAGAUAAGGGAACGGCCUGGAAAUUACAUUUGCUAUACGACCAUUUGUAUCAGUUGGGAGAUAAUGAAGGAAAGUUCUAUUCACAUUAUCGUCCUCCGCAGACUUAUCACAAGCUAACUGCUAAUUUAUCCUGGAAGCCCAGAUCACGGGCAUUAAUUAGCAGGAGAUUCCAGGACUGUGACUCUGUCUACGAUCGCGCAACAGAUAUUUAAUGUGCCACUGAUGCAAUCAAUUUCUCUCCACUUUUUUUUUUUUUUUUUGGCACUUGUGAAAUAUCGUGGGGAAACUCAACGCUGUCAAAGCCGCUAAAGUCUUCGCCGCAGCCCGGCACUCGCAGCUGACAUAUUGACGCUAUCUUGUGAAAGUGUGUCAGACGUGUCACGAUGCGCCGCUGAAGCAGCUCGGGGACGGACAGCUCCAAAGACCCGAGGACACGGAGCCGCGCACGCGGGCGCUGCUCUGCACAAAGGACCGGCGCCGUUUGGCCUUUUCGCCGGAUCCGCCGCUCACACAUCCUGCUGAGCUCUUUGAUCAUUUCCUGCUCUUUCCUCUGUUCCUGUCUCUCCCCUCGGUCCCUGUUUAACAGCAGGCAGGAAGUCGAUACUGGUGACAUUUACAGGGGAGUUAUUGAAACUCUUAUUAAUACACGUCUGUGUUGUUUGCAUGAUUUUGCAUCUAAUUGAACGCUGAUUUGGGACACGGCCUCCUAAAACCCCAAACCCAGCAUCAGCCACGCGUUAGAGCGGUCCCACGUGUCCAUAUAUCAGUGUUGACUCUUCCUUUUAUUCCUGAAGCAACUGUUGGGGUUUAAAAUAACAGGUCACAUCAACCGGUGCCACGCGUCAAUAAAAGAACGUGGACGCGCCUCCACUCGAGUAUCACACGUGAACCGGAGCAGCACAUAAACAACCAGGGGUGACAGAUUAUCAAUAAUCCUAUUAUAUGACUUGUCAGCACACAUGACGGAGAACUCGGCCCGUGUGGCGUCGUAACAGCGCUGGA
Molecule: long non-coding RNA, 2539 nt
Organism: Betta splendens (Siamese fighting fish)
Lineage: Eukaryota; Metazoa; Chordata; Actinopteri; Anabantiformes; Osphronemidae
Exons: 3
Source: RefSeq, a predicted model, not a curated record